Molecule: ribosomal RNA, 450 nt
Filed under: uncultured bacterium
Lineage: Bacteria
Description: partial 16S ribosomal RNA
Rfam family: Bacterial small subunit ribosomal RNA
Source: RNAcentral
GUGGGGAAUUUUGGACAAUGGGGGCAACCCUGAUCCAGCAAUGCCGCGUGCAGGAAGAAGGCCUUCGGGUUGUAAACUGCUUUUGUACGGAACGAAAAGGCUCUGGUUAAUACCUGGGGCUCAUGACGGUACCGUAAGAAUAAGCACCGGCUAACUACGUGCCAGCAGCCGCGGUAAUACGUAGGGUGCAAGCGUUAAUCGGAAUUACUGGGCGUAAAGCGUGCGCAGGCGGUUUUGUAAGACAGACGUGAAAUCCCCGGGCUCAACCUGGGAAUGGCGUUUGUGACUGCAAAGCUGGAGUGCGGCAGAGGGGGAUGGAAUUCCGCGUGUAGCAGUGAAAUGCGUAGAUAUGCGGAGGAACACCGAUGGCGAAGGCAAUCCCCUGGGCCUGCACUGACGCUCAUGCACGAAAGCGUGGGGAGCAAACAGGAUUAGAUACCCUUGUAGUCC